This 346-nucleotide ribosomal RNA is filed under the name uncultured bacterium. RNAcentral describes it as "bacterial SSU rRNA". It matches the Rfam family "Bacterial small subunit ribosomal RNA", at positions 917 to 1265 of the family's 1533-position model. The record is from RNAcentral.
GGGCCCGCACAAGCGGUGGAGUAUGUGGUUUAAUUCGAUGCAACGCGAAGAACCUUACCAGGGUUUGACAUCCUGCGAAUCUCUUGGAAACAGGAGAGUGCCUUCGGGAACGCAGUGACAGGUGGUGCAUGGCUGUCGUCAGCUCGUGUCGUGAGAUGUUGGGUUAAGUCCCGCAACGAGCGCAACCCACGUCUUUAGUUGCCAGCAUUUAGUUGGGCACUCUAGAGAGACUGCCGGUGAUAAACCGGAGGAAGGUGUGGAUGACGUCAAGUCAUCAUGCCCCUUACAUCCUGGGCUACACACGUACUACAAUGGUAGUGAGCAAUUGGGUUAAUCCCCAAAAAAG